RNAcentral lists this long non-coding RNA (4718 nucleotides) under Daucus carota (carrot). RNAcentral's name for it is "long non-coding RNA (DCAR_LNC003206)". The record is from RNAcentral. Lineage: Eukaryota; Viridiplantae; Streptophyta; Magnoliopsida; Apiales; Apiaceae.
AGCAGCAAGCUCCGUAGCUCUGGAAGUGGCAGUUAGGUGUCCAUCCAAGGAGUCUGGUGAUGUGAAAGUCAGUCAGCUUGAUGUGCCGAUUUCAGGAGAUGAUACACUUUUGACAAAAAUGGAUGCUUCUCAGAGUAGCAUGGAACCUGUUGGAAUAGAUUCAUGUAAAGCACCUAUAACAAAUGUUGCUCCCACAAUUGAGGUUACAAGUGAUACUCAGUCAUCAGAACUUCAGUCUUCAAGAAGUGAGAGUGUACAGUUAACCCAACCAACAUUUCAAGCUUUAGAAACUGCCCCAGUUUCAGAUUUGCGAAUCAAUGAGGAAAGUGGGGCGAAGGUAGAGGAGAUUACAAAUGCUUCUUUGGGAGCUACACAAGGUGAUACAUCGAAUAUAAUCUCUGAGACUCAAAAUCUGGAAAGCAAAAUAGUUUCUGCUGUGUCUAAUAUGGAAACAUGUAUUGCCACUCUAGAUUCUGGUGAUACAAGUAAUUUAGCAUCAUCAACAUUGGAAACUAAUCAGACUUCUGAUGCUGCCAAAGUUGGAAGUCCAGUUGAGAAGGAAUGUUGUGGAAAGCUGGAGGAGGUUCCCGGAGUUGAUACAUCUGAGAGUCCAAAAAUUAAUUCAUAUGUUCAAGACAUAGCUGAGACUGAUAAAUUUACUCAGGAAUCUCUCGAAGGUAAAGAUGCGAUUCACCAUGUUUCUGAAAAGUGUGGUGACGCAGAGGAUUGUAUGGUCCAUAGCACUAGGGAAGCAGUGCGUUCUGUCGAAGAUAAUGUGAGAGUAGACGAUGCAGUGGUGGAAAAUAGGGAAAGUAUAAACAGCUAUCUAGUUAGUACCACAACAGAUGAUGCAAUGGCAGAAACUAAAGAGACUAUAAAUAGCUAUCAAGUUAGUGCUCCUUUGGAUGGAAGAGGUCAUGAUUCUGUAGCGAGUUCUGGGGCAGAUAGAAAUUUUGAGAUUAUAGCAGAUGCAGUAAAUGAUGCGGUCGGUGAUACAGAAUGUUCUGCAGGACUUGUGAUGGAGAAAUUUAUACUUGCCGAGGAUGUUAGGAUGAGUGACCCAUGUGGUUUAACAGUGUGUGCAGGUGAAGAGCCGGAGAGGAUUGAAGCUGUAGUUGCCCCAGAGUACAACACAGAGACUUAUGCUGCGAAGGAAAAGCAGGAGGCGGAGGUACAAUCUGAUGUCAAGGAUUUAUCUGAGCCAAAGGUAAAAACCAUUCCCUUCAUAAUUUUCUCUUUUGUUUGCAUUCCUUUUUAAACCUCUGAUUCCCAAAUCCAUCCCUCACUUGUAUUCUAUACCCUUGAUAAACCGCCCUCAGGUUUAGUUUCAUUUUCUUCCACAAGGUGCAGUUUUUACUGUAUUUAACUAAUAUCUAGAAAGUUAAUUUAGAAGACAUGAAAUGCUACAAUAAGUAUGUCUAGUGCAGUGCAGCAAUCUCUUCUCACACUAGUAAUGAUAAUAGCUUUCUGUAAUACCCCAAUAUAGAUUCACCGCUCUUUAAUUUAUCACCUUUUUUAAUGAUCAUGAAGUACUUAAUGAAGUCAGCAAUCGAUGCUGCGCUAGUCAACUCUUGGUUUUUGUUGGGAGGAUGCAUGACGGGAAAGUCAUACUGCAAAAACAUCUUUUCUAAAGUAUUUUGUUAUAAAUGUGAGUCAUGUUAAACUUGUAUUUUUGAAAUACUUGAAUCAGAUUACUAGAGUUGUGAUACAUUAUAUCAUAUGUAAUUAAAUAAACAUACAUUUUUCUAUUAUACAGUGUGGUUGAACAAGACCUUGUCAGGGGUUAAAAUAAAUUGAUGCUUUUAAGUAGUCUUGCUUAACAGACGUCUAAGACCUUUUAAUAGAACUAUUUAUAAUUGCAUGAUAGAAGUUUAUAUGUUACAUAUUUUAGUCAAUUUCUUGGUUAUCUAUGAGCUACUCCAUAAUUACAGAUUGAACAGGGUGACAAAGUAGCUCAGGCUGAUGAGGAGGCUACUCUUGAGAUUGGGCAGAGCUUGGUAGAGCCAUCCGUUCAGCAGUGCCAAACUCAGAUGGAGAAGGAGUUUGAAGCCUCUGAAAAAGUUGAACUUUCUGGCGAGCAGCUCCAAACUCGAGCAGGAGAAGAUUUGAACUCCAGAAGAAAGCAGCAGAGUGAGACUCAGAAUUUGGUGAAUGCCGUACAGGCAGAAGAUAGUGAAGUUCAUAAAUUUGAUAAUGUUGUUGGACCGGGUUUAUCUGAUGUGACUGGCGGACCUAAUCAGUGUAUAGGAAACAAUCAAGCAGCAAGCUCUGUGGCUCUUGAAGUAGCUGUUAGUUCUCCAUCCGAGGAGUCUGCCGAUGUGAAAGUGAGUCAGCUUGAUGUGCCAUUUUCAGGAGAUGAUAAACUUUUGACAGAAAUGAAGGCUUCUCAGAGUAGUGUGCAACCUGUUGGGUUAAAAUUAUGUGAAUCGCCUAUAAAAAUUGUUGCUCCCGCAAUCGAGGUUACAAGUGAUGCUAAAUCAUCAGAAUAUCAGGCUUCAAGUAGUAAAAGUAUACAUUUAACCCAACCAACAUUCCAAGCUUUAGAAACUACUCCACUAGCUAACGUUGAAAGCUUUGACAUGCAAACCCGGGAGGAAAGUAGUGGGAAGGUAAAGGAUAUUACAAAUGCUUCUUUGGAAGCUCCAGAGGGUGAUACAUCGACUGACAUCUCUGUGAUUCAAACUCUUGAAAGCGGAAAAGUUUCAGCUUUGUGUGAUAUGGAAACAAGUAUUGCCACUGAAGGCUCCAAUGAUACAAGUAAUUUAGCGUCGUCCAAUUUUGAAACUGAUCAGACUUCUGAUGCUGCCAAAGUUGGAAGUCCAGUUGAGAAGAUAUGUGCUGGAAAGCUGGAGGAGGUUCCUGAAGUUGAUGUUUUUGUUCAAGACAUAGCUGAUACUAAUAAAUCCACUGAGGAAUCUCUCAGAUCUAAAGAUGAGAUUCAGCAUGUUUCUGAAAAGUCUGUUGACACAAAGGAUUGUCUGGUGCAUAUUACUAAGGAAGCAGUAAGUUAUGUUGAAGGUAAUAUCAGAGCAGACGAUGCAGUGGUGGAAACAAGAGAACUUAUAAACAUUGAUCAAGUUAAUGCCACAAGAGAUAACGCAACGGUGGAAAGUAAAGAUAGUAGAAACAGCUGUCAAGUUAGUGCUGCUUUGGAUGGAAGAGGUGAUGAUCUUGUAGGGAGUUCUGCGCCAGAUAAAAAUAUUGAGACUAUUGCAGGGGCAAUAAAUGUGGUGGUCGGUAAUGCAGAUUGUUCUGCAGGGCUUGUGACGGAGAAAUUUAUACUUGCGAUGGAUGUUGAGAUGAGUGAUCCAUGUUUAACAGGCUGUGCUGGUGAGGAGGAGAGGACAGAUGAACCUGUAGUUGCCCCAGAGUACAAUACAGAGAUUAAUGCUGGUAAGGAAAAACAGGAGGCAGAGAUACAAUCAGAAGCCAAGGAUUUAUCUGAGCCAAAGGUAAAAACCACUCCCUCCAUUGUAAUGUAAAUUUACUCUUUUGUUUGGAAUAGUUUUUUAGAGUUCCGAUUCCCAAGUUCAUCCCUCACUUGAAUUCUCUUCCCUUGAUAAAUCUCUUCUUACACUGACCCUAGCAAUGAUAAUUGCUUUCCAUACUACCUUUUCCAAUGAUCAUGCUGUACUCAAAAAUGAAGUCAGCAAUUUAUCCUGCUAUAAUCAACUCUUGCUUUAUUUUGAGAGGAUGCAUGAGGUGAGAUUCGUACUGCGAAAGUAUCUGUUGUAAAGUAUUGUGUUAUCAAAGUAAAUCAUGUUAACUUGUAUAUCUGAAAUACUCAAAUUAUUUUACAAGAGCUGUGUACAUUAUUUUAUAUGUAACUACGAUUGAAAUUAGAACAUUUGUUGUUCCAUUAUACUUUGUGGUUGCAUAUUAAAGUUACAUUUUAGAUGCUCAAGAGUUUGUCGGGGGGUUAAAAUAAAAUAGACGCUUUAAGUAGUCUUGCUUAACAGACGUCUAAAACAUUCAAGUACUAGUAUAUUCUUUUGCUAGACUUUAAUGUUAAAAUGGUUCAUGGUUGUGUGAUAGAAGUUUAUAUGUUACAUUUUUAGUCAAUUUCUUGGUUAUUUAUGACAUGCUCCAUAAUUACAGAAUGAACAGUUUGACAAAGAAGCUCAGGGUGAUGUGGUGGAUACUGUUGAGAUUGGGCAGAGUUUCGAAGAGCCAUUUGUUCAGCAGUGCCAAACGCAGAUGGAGAAGGAAUUUGAAGCCUCUGAAACAGUUGAAAUUUCUGGCGAACAGCUGCAAACUCAAGCAGGAGAAAAUUUGAACUCCAGAAGACAGCAGCAGAAUGAGACUCAGAAUUUGGUGAAUUCCGUACAGGCAGAAGCUAGUGAAGUUCAUAUUGCUGAUAAUGUUGCUGGACCGGGUUUAUCUGAUGUGACUGUCGGCCCUUAUCAGUCUGUAGGGAACAAUCAAGCAGCAAGCUCCCUAGCUCUGGAAGUAGCUUCUAGGUCUCCAUCCAAGGAGUCUGCUGAUGUGAAAGUGAGUCAGCUUGAUGUGCAAUUUUCAGGAGAUGAUAAACUGUUGACAAAAAUUAAGGCUUCUCAUAGUAGUGUGGAACCUGUUGGAAUGGAAUUAUGUAAAUCACCUGCAAAAAAUGUAGCUCUCACAAUUGAGGUUACAAGUGAGACUCGAUCAUUAGAGUAUCAUUCUUCAGAAAGUGAGAGUGUACAGUUAACACAACCAACAUUUCAAGCAUUAGAAACUUC